CCUACGGGAGGCAGCAGUCGGGAAUAUUGCGCAAUGGAGGAAACUCUGACGCAGUGACGCCGCGUAUGGGAAGAAGGUUUUCGGAUUGUAAACCAUUGUCGUUAGGGAAGAAGAAGUGACAGUACCUAAGGAGGAAGCGCCGGCUAACUCCGUGCCAGCAGCCGCGGUAAUACGGAGGGCGCGAGCGUUAAUCGGAAUUACUGGGCGUAAAGCGCGCGUAGGCUGUUGUGUAAGUUGGGGGUGGAAUCCCACGGCUCAACCGUGGAACAGCCCUUGAUACUGCGCGACUUGAAUCCGGGAGAGGG
Molecule: ribosomal RNA, 305 nt
Filed under: uncultured bacterium
Lineage: Bacteria
Description: bacterial SSU rRNA
Rfam family: Bacterial small subunit ribosomal RNA
Source: RNAcentral